RNAcentral lists this long non-coding RNA (208 nucleotides) under Panax ginseng (ginseng). RNAcentral describes it as "long non-coding RNA (PGIN_LNC007223)". The record is from RNAcentral. Lineage: Eukaryota; Viridiplantae; Streptophyta; Magnoliopsida; Apiales; Araliaceae.
ACAAAACUACCAAAAACAAGAUCUUAAUUUCCACCAUUUUUGAACAUUGAAUCUGCAAAAAGAAAGAGAUUAGAGAAAAAUGUGAUCUGUCCUUUUUGUUCCUAUCUUGAUCUCGUUUUCUUUUCCUUUCCCUUAAACAUUUCAUCCAUGGGAAGGAAAUUUCCGGCAGGGGAAAAUCUAACAAUCAAUCCAAUAUUAUCAUUGUCAC